AACGCAUAUUGCGCCCUCUGGUAUUCCGGAGGGCAUGCCUGUCCGAGCGUCAUUACUACCUUCAAGCACUGGGCUUGGUUGUUGAGUCGAUUGUCCUUUUGGUGGACAGGCUUAAAAUGCAAUGGCGAUGCCGAGUCCUGAUGCUGAUGCCCGAGCGUAUGGAGCUUCGUCACACGCUUUAGUGGCUCAGCCGGCAUUUUCGUCGAUUAAACCUUAAAAAAAUCUAAGAUUUGACCUCGGAUCAGGUAAGGAUACCCGCUGAACUUAA
RNAcentral lists this unclassified non-coding RNA (268 nucleotides) under uncultured Ascomycota. RNAcentral's name for it is "sequence contains ITS2". The stretch from base 1 to 52 matches the Rfam family "5.8S ribosomal RNA", at positions 103 to 154 of the family's 154-position model. Lineage: Eukaryota; Fungi; Ascomycota. The record is from RNAcentral.